AUUUUUAUUGUGGACUAGAUUUGUCAAACACUACCAAGUGAAAGCAUAUACAUAAAUAAAAUUAGUUCGCUCUGCUUCCUCCAUAAGCAAAGAUAAUGUCAAUAAUCUACUUUGAUUUCUUUAGAAAUUGUGAUGGUGUCAAAAAUCCGCUUUGCUUUCUCUACAAGUCGUGAUAGUGUCCCUAAUUUCUUUAAUUCCUAAUCAUAAAACCCAAAGAUUUUUCAGCACCAACACUAACAGCACAUUUCUUCGUAUGGAACUUUAUAUUGUACUCUCAAGAAACUUAAACACCUCUUGGGGAUCGCAAAUGUGUUGUUUUAGGGAGACACUCUUGACCAACAUAUUUUACACAUACACUUGUUAGAAAAUAUAGACAUCAUAUAUGUAGAAGGCCCAUUUCGCCCGGUCUCAUACCAAAAACAAAAAACAAAAAUUAAAUUAAAUCAACAGUCCAUUUACAAUUCAUUUAACCCAAAAAUAAAAGCCCAAACAUUAAACCUAAUGUAGGCCCGAAUUAAAACUAAAUAAACUCUAACCCAAAAUUCCAGCCCAAAAUUAAAAAAAAAAAUCUCAGCAAACCCUAGCUAGACCAGCGUCGCAGGACCUUCACGCGCGCCACCACCUCCGUUCCUCCAGUUGGCUCCUUCUAUACCUGCAACAAACUAACAAGCCACAACAGAUUGACAACAAAUAAUAAAAAGAUAUAAGGAAAAUUUUCUUUUAUUUUCUUUUUUAUUUUUAUUUUUCUCUUUAUUCGGCUAUAAAAGAAAACCGAAUGUAAUUUGUAAAGCUCUCUAGAUUUUUUGAAUACAAAGAAAAGAAGAAAUAUACUCAGAAACAGAAAAGGUGAUUCAUUCAUUGAUUCGUAGUUCUUAUUUUUUCUUUUAUCUUUUGUUUUAUUUUGAGUCUAACUUACAAAUAUACAAAAAAAGAAGAAAAGUUUUCUUACCCGUUUUUGGGUGUCGACCCAGUCGAUGGCCGCUCCUCCGAUCUAAAGGUAAACGGAUCCAUGGGGAUCCGGUUAAAUCCGCGAAGGGGAUGGAGGCUUAGUAUGCGAUGAAGCCCAUAGGUUGAUCGAGAGGGGAGGGAAUGUUAAGGGAAUUUUGAGAAAAAAGGUUUUGAAACUUUUUUUGAGAGAAUAAUCGGCCAAAUGAAUUUUUAGGGCAAAUUUUUGGUUUAUAUAUAUGAUUAAAACGGCGUCGUUUUAAGCCGUGAGUGUUGGCGUUGAAACGGCGUCGUUUCAUGGCACAACCCGAUGACCCGACUCGGAUUCUCUUAGGAUCCGCGCCUCUCAUAGGGAGGGGAUAAUUGUGCGCGCGGUCCUUCUUCAUUUCUGUUAUGUUUAAUACAGUUUUUUCUUUGUUUUUAAUUUUCCCCUUAAUUUCAAUUUUGUUCUGAUUUGGUCCCCAAAGGAACAACACCGUUUUGGGGCGAGGGAUAAUUUCCUAUUCAACCCUCAUGGUUUUGCGCGCGUUUCACUCCAGCCCUGCAUUCUUUUUGUUGUUUAAAUCGCG
Molecule: long non-coding RNA, 1514 nt
Filed under: Gossypium barbadense (sea-island cotton)
Lineage: Eukaryota; Viridiplantae; Streptophyta; Magnoliopsida; Malvales; Malvaceae
Description: long non-coding RNA (GBAR_LNC007675)
Source: RNAcentral